RNAcentral lists this long non-coding RNA (465 nucleotides) under Phoenix dactylifera (date palm). RNAcentral describes it as "long non-coding RNA (PDAC_LNC012861)". Lineage: Eukaryota; Viridiplantae; Streptophyta; Magnoliopsida; Arecales; Arecaceae. The record is from RNAcentral.
UUUAACUAUGUUAUCUUGGAAAGCUUGAGGCAUGUUCCAAGCAACUUAAGAUACUAAAAGUAAAUGUUUGUCUUGAUGUGGAGUUUAAGAACUCAGUUUUUGUUCCUACACGUCUAUCAUCCAGAUAUAUUGGCCCUUAUCAACAAAUAUUUGAGCCCGGCCUUUUGAAAACUUCAAAUUAUGUAUCUGUGCUAUAUAUUGAAUAUUGAUUUCUUUAGAAUAACUGUAUUUUCUUUUCAUCAAGCUCUUAUAAAUCAAGCAAACUAGACAAGGAUUCUCAAAGCUAGAAUAUAAAUGUCUAUCAUCUUGCUUAAUAAACUUCCUAGGUGCUAAUGGUUGAUAAUUGGGCUAUAAAUGUUGUUGCCUAUAAAAACCAAAGAUAUUUAUUUCCAAUGUAAAAAGACUACUAAGCAUCACACUGGUGAUGUAGCUAGAGUUGAAGUGGAGCAUAGGUUAGAGUAUGUC